RNAcentral lists this ribosomal RNA (253 nucleotides) under uncultured bacterium. Its description in RNAcentral is "partial 16S ribosomal RNA". It matches the Rfam family "Bacterial small subunit ribosomal RNA", at positions 524 to 776 of the family's 1533-position model. The record is from RNAcentral.
UACGUAGGGGGCCAGCGUUGUCCGGAAUCAUUGGGCGUAAAGCGCGCGUAGGCGGCCAGAUAAGUCCGGUGUGAAAGUCAAAGGCUCAACCUUUGAAUGCCGCUGGAAACUGCCUGGCUUGAGUCCGGAAGGGGCGAGUGGAAUUCCUGGUGUAGCGGUGAAAUGCUUAGAUAUGACAUAGAACACCGAUUGCGAAGGCAGCUGGCUCCUCGGAUAUUGACACUGAGGCACGAAAGCGUGGGGAGCAAACAGG